GUGUAGCUUCUGACAUCCCUAGGAGACACAGUCUCACAGCCAAUUCUCUGAUCUUCUGGCUCCUAGAAUCUUUAGCUUUUAACAUAUGGAAUCUCUGUGGAUGCUUCAUACAAUGCUUCAUUUCAUCCACCUCGAAGAGAGAGGAACAUUGGGGAUCAUCUCCAGGGGUCUCUUGCAGGAGGGCCAAAAGGAGCCCGAGGUCAUCAGAUCCCAUAGGAGUUACAGUGGGCAGCCCACAGCCUUGCAAAGGAAUCUGUUGGAGCAGAAUCUUCAACUACUGUGCUGAUAGAUUCAGUUCCUAAUACAACAUGGUGGGCCUGAUCUCAUUCUAAAUCCAAAAUGUGCUUGAAUGUGAGACUCUGCUCCAAGACCUCCAGAAUGGUCAUCUUCAUGGUAAAGAAACCAGUGAUAUGGUCGUGAUUCAUAAAUCAUCCUUGUUGAAAAAGAAGAUCACUUGCUGAUCUAUGAUGACUAGUAGAUGACUGGCCCUUAAACUUGGUAUAGGCUAGGUAAGUAUAGCUCUCCACCCCCUCAACAAAGAAGCUUCUUUUUACCACAGAUGGAGACCAUUACAGAAACCCACACAGUACAGAGAACAUAUGACAGUGUAUUGUCAAACCAUAAUGGGUACAUCUCAGUGACAGACUAUGAAUCUAGUCACACUUCUGCUGGUAUCUUGAGUGCAGGCUGGGCUCUCGGUGUUCAGCACUCAUUGCUGGAUACAGAGACUCAGCCCUGGCCUCAGGGUUUCUGGUGAAGCCACUGAUCUGAUCAGCGUGUGGUCCUCAGCCUGGCAGUGCAGCAGCAGUGAGUACUCAGGCCCUCAGCAGUGCCAAGUUCACACCUUCACCUCCCAGUCGCCCCACCCUCUCUGUUUCAGGCUUGGCACCAUCACUGGUGAUUCAGAAACCCUGGUUUAGAGAAUUUGAGAAUUCCCCAUAGGGGAAAAAUAUUUGUGUAAGAAACGGCCUCUCAACUUCCCAACAUUGGACUGAAAGAAAAAAAGAUGUUCUGCUCAAAAUUUUGGCAAUGUUCUGAAUCGAUAAAGACUGAAAUAUACAAGGAGAUGAAAAGAAAAUAUGAAGUU
Long non-coding RNA from Mus pahari (shrew mouse), 1087 nucleotides. RefSeq lists it as uncharacterized. The record is from RefSeq and is a predicted model, not a curated record. Lineage: Eukaryota; Metazoa; Chordata; Mammalia; Rodentia; Muridae. The transcript is spliced from 5 exons.